AGAGUCUCGUAGAGGGGGGGUAGAAUUUCCAGGUGUAGCGGUGAAAUGCGUAGAGAUUCUGGAGGAAUACCGGUGGCGAAGGCGGCCCCCUGGACGAAGACUGACGCUCAGGUGCGAAAGCGUGGUGAGCAAACAGGAUUAGAUACCCUGGUAGUCCACGCUGUAAACGAUGUCGAUUUGGAGGUUGUGCCCUUGAGGCGUGGCUUCCGGAGCUAACGCGUUAAAUCGACCGCCUGGGGAGUACGGCCGCAAGGUUAAAACUCAAAUGAAUUGACGGGGGCCCGCACAAGCGGUGGAGCAUGUGGUUUAAUUCGAUGCAACGCGAAGAACCUUACCUACUCUUGACAUCCAGAGAACUUUCCAGAGAUGGAUUGGUGCCUUCGGGAACUCUGAGACAGGUGCUGCAUGGCUGUCGUCAGCUCGUGUUGUGAAAUGUUGGGUUAAGUCCCGCAACGAGCGCAACCCUUAUCCUUUGUUGCCAGCGGUUCGGCCGGGAACUCAAAGGAGACUGCCAGUGAUAAACUGGAGGAAGGUGGGGAUGACGUCAAGUCAUCAUGGCCCUUACGAGUAGGGCUACACACGUGCUACAAUGGCAUAUACAAAGAGAAGCGACCUCGCGAGAGCAAGCGGACCUCAUAAAGUAUGUCGUAGUCCGGAUUGGAGUCUGCAACUCGACUCCAUGAAGUCGGAAUCGCUAGUAAUCGUAGAUCAGAAUGCUACGGUGAAUACGUUCCCGGGCCUUGUACACACCGCCCGUCACAUCCAUGGGAUGUGGGUUGCAAAAGAAGUAGGUAGCUUAA
Molecule: ribosomal RNA, 800 nt
Filed under: Serratia sp. UIWRF0724
Lineage: Bacteria; Pseudomonadati; Pseudomonadota; Gammaproteobacteria; Enterobacterales; Yersiniaceae
Description: bacterial SSU rRNA
Rfam family: Bacterial small subunit ribosomal RNA
Source: RNAcentral